RNAcentral lists this long non-coding RNA (680 nucleotides) under Medicago truncatula (barrel medic). RNAcentral describes it as "long non-coding RNA (MTRU_LNC004098)". Lineage: Eukaryota; Viridiplantae; Streptophyta; Magnoliopsida; Fabales; Fabaceae. The record is from RNAcentral.
UGUCCUCCUGGUAAAAUAGAGUGAGUUUUUGUUGAAACAAUGGUUUAGUCCAUGGAAGUAUUGAAAAUAGAGCGAGUUACUGAAAUUUUCAUGGGUUAGUUAAAACAGAUGGAGAUUUAAGAGUAAAUAUUUCAUCAAAAAAUAGACUCAAUAAGAAAAAAAGCAAUAUUAUUUUAAAAUAUCUAAUAAGCAUGUAUUUUUUUAACUCAACAUAAGACAUUUGUACUUUACGAUUCUCGUUACCAAAGAUCAAAUGUGAAGGUAUUUAAUAUAAUAUUGGCUGGAUAAAAAAAUUGCAUGGUUGACAAAAAAAAAAUUGCAUGAAAGAAAUGACAUCCAAAAACUUAUAUUUGAUAUAAUAAAAUAAAUAAGCAAAUGACAUUCAAAAACUAAAAUAACAGUUCAUCAUAAUGUUUGGAGUUCUCAAGGGGCCUACAAUGGGUUGGGCAAUCACAUUAGACUAAGAGAAUCCCCACAAGGUGAGAUUGACACACAUCUUCACCAAAAAUUCUAAGAGGGAUGUUUGUAUUGUUUCUUUCAUCAGAAGAGAUAAAGUAAAUUAGUAAAGGAAAGCAGGUGAAAAAUGAAUUUGAACUUGAGAGAAAUGAUAAAAGAUAAAUAUAAGGAGAGUGUGUUUUAUCUGUGAGAGUAUAGAGAGAGUAUAUAAAAUAUAAUGAUUU